Molecule: long non-coding RNA, 1316 nt
Filed under: Homo sapiens (human)
Lineage: Eukaryota; Metazoa; Chordata; Mammalia; Primates; Hominidae
Description: HSALNT0114646
Source: RNAcentral
GGUUGGAUUAACAUUGGCUGCAGGUGAAAGAAGCCUUCACCAAAUAACAGUUUAUUUCUGCCUUCAUGGAUGCCUGAAGGUUGGUAAUCCAGGGUUGGGAUGGUUGUUUUGCUUUAAGAAGGCCUCAGGAAGAAGCUCUUUCUAGCUCUCUUGUCUUCCAACCCCAGGCUGUGGCCUCCGUCCUCAUGGUGCAAUGUGAUGGUUGAAGCAUCAGCCAUCAUAUCCAUGUUCCCAGGAACAGGAAAUGGGCACACACAUGGUGUCUUGAGGAUGUUUUCCUGGAAGUUGUCCAAUAACACUUCUACUUAUAAGUCACUGGCCAGAACUUAUUGCCAUUGCUGUUCGCAGCAGAGAGAAAAGCUGGACAAUGCAGCUUUAUUCCAGGCAGCUUUGUGUCCAGUUCAGCAUCGCGCUGCAAUUUUUACAGAAGGAAUGGAGAAUAGAUCGGGGGAGGGAGCAACCAGCAAUCUUGGCAACAUUGUUUUCUGAACACUAAAUAAAACCACUAGAAAAUAUCUAGAUUGAUUGGAUGACACCGGGAUGGGACUGUUAGUUUCGCAUGAAGAUUUAGUGGAGAAACCAUGUAUUUGUAUGGAUGAAGUGAAAUGAAUGGCCUGGCAGGCUUCUUUUCAAGGGCUCUCAUGCAUGCUCAGCCUCAGAUGCAUCACAUCGGUAGCAUCCUGUGCACCAUGAGGACUUAGGGACCCACGGGCCAUUUUCCUGAGAGACAGCAGCCAGCCAGCCCUGACCGCAGGAGCUCAGACAGCCAGAUAGCCCUAAGCAGCUGAGUCUGGUGGGCGAACUUUUCUGAGUGGCUGCCAGUUUGUGAUGGUCCCCACAGAAGCGCCUCUGUUAUUUUGUGCAGUGUGUCUCUAAGUAUUCCAGUGAGGACACCCACCACUUCUCUUGAAUGUACAGACUCCUCUGUGGGGGUUUUUCUCCCUGCUUGUCAGCUUCAGUCUUCUUUGUUCAGAAUCUUCCCUCUUCCUCUGGACUUACCCCUUCAACACGACCACAACCUCAAGAAUGUGAUGUUUGCACUUACAACGUUCUAUGAAAUCCAGCAAAACAGCCUCAGUGGACAACUCUUCUACUUAAGGAGAUUUUUGUUUUUCUCUUCUCUUGUUUAAAUCUAGCAUAGACACCUUUAUCAAGUACACGGGUAUGUCUUAAGUGACUUUUGUGGCAUUUCUAAGCUUUAAUGUGACUUAGAUUAAAGGUGUUUAAAAAGGAGAAAACAAAGACAAAUUUUGAACUCUCCUUCGAACUAAAAAAUUGUGCUGAACUCCUUAAUAUUUGAAAUAUUGAUAUUCUGA